GCCACCGCUCCGUCACCCCCUACCCUCAACCCAAACUGCCUGGCGGGGUUGUUUUGGAGAAAAUUGACGCUUCUCUUCUUCUUUGAUUUUUGUUCUUCCCCCCACCCGGAGCUUGCAGGAUUCAACAUUGGCAGAAGGGAACACAGUCCAAAACUUGGAAGAUCAGACCCUACAGAGGAAACAAGGCCAGGAGGUGGUCUGGGGUGCGUUGUCACAGGAGCCAGGACUGGAUAGGCAGUGGUUGACUUCUGUUGGCCUUCAGAACCCUGCUCUGGCAUCAUGAUUUUCAGAAAAUCUUCCUGGGAUCCCUACAUCCAGCUAAAUGCUCUUCCUCUGUGCAGCCAGUCAUCCUUAGCACCCUUAACAGCCAGUCAUUAUAUCAUUUUUAGCAUCUAUCACAUUGGAGUGAAGUAAUUUGUUUGUGUACCUGUACAACUAGAAUAUACUUCUCCUAACUGGAGGAGCUAAUCAAUAGUCUUCCUUCCUCUCUUCCUUCCGUCCUUUUUCCCUCCUCCCUUCCUUUCUUUCUUCUUUUCUUUCUUCUUUCCCAUUCUCUUCCUUCCCCAUCUUCUCAAUCUCCUCUUUCUCCUUUACCUCUUUUUUUUUUUUUUCUUCUAU
This is a long non-coding RNA of Dama dama (fallow deer), 618 nucleotides long. RefSeq lists it as uncharacterized. The record is from RefSeq and is a predicted model, not a curated record. The transcript has 3 exons. NCBI's taxonomy places the organism in Eukaryota, Metazoa, Chordata, Mammalia, Artiodactyla, Cervidae.